CGAAGCUGAUGAACUAAUGGAAGAUAUUGAGGCUUUUCGCUAUAUGGUGAGGGAAACAGGAUAUGACAGGGGCCGAGGAGCGAAAAGCACCUCUAUAUUGGAAAAAAUCAAAGGAGUUGUCUCCUAAACAAAUUGACGAGGAAGCCGAGAAAACAAAGUUGCCAGUAGGGC
Molecule: long non-coding RNA, 171 nt
Organism: Haliotis rufescens (red abalone)
Lineage: Eukaryota; Metazoa; Mollusca; Gastropoda; Lepetellida; Haliotidae
Exons: 3
Source: RefSeq, a predicted model, not a curated record